This 87-nucleotide ribosomal RNA is filed under the name Meconopsis speciosa. Its description in RNAcentral is "partial 5.8S ribosomal RNA". It matches the Rfam family "5.8S ribosomal RNA", at positions 73 to 154 of the family's 154-position model. Rfam says of the family: 5.8S ribosomal RNA (5.8S rRNA) is a component of the large subunit of the eukaryotic ribosome. It is transcribed by RNA polymerase I as part of the 45S precursor that also contains 18S and 28S rRNA. Lineage: Eukaryota; Viridiplantae; Streptophyta; Magnoliopsida; Ranunculales; Papaveraceae. The record is from RNAcentral.
UGCAGAAUCCCGUGAACCAUCGAGUUUUUGAACGCAAGUUGCGCCCCAAGCCUUUGGGUCGAGGGCACGCUUGCCUGGGCGUCACGC